Molecule: ribosomal RNA, 503 nt
Filed under: uncultured bacterium
Lineage: Bacteria
Description: bacterial SSU rRNA
Rfam family: Bacterial small subunit ribosomal RNA
Source: RNAcentral
CUACGUGCCAGCAGCCGCGGUAAUACGGAAGGUCCGGGCGUUAUCCGGAUUUAUUGGGUUUAAAGGGAGCGUAGGCUGGAGAUUAAGUGUGUUGUGAAAUGUAGACGCUCAACGUCUGACUUGCAGCGCAUACUGGUUUCCUUGAGUACGCACAACGUUGGCGGAAUUCGUCGUGUAGCGGUGAAAUGCUUAGAUAUGACGAAGAACUCCGAUUGCGAAGGCAGCUGACGGGAGCGCAACUGACGCUUAAGCUCGAAGGUGCGGGUAUCAAACAGGAUUAGAUACCCUGGUAGUCCGCACAGUAAACGAUGGAUGCCCGCUGUUGGUACCUGGUAUCAGCGGCUAAGCGAAAGCAUUAAGCAUCCCACCUGGGGAGUACGCCGGCAACGGUGAAACUCAAAGGAAUUGACGGGGGCCCGCACAAGCGGAGGAACAUGUGGUUUAAUUCGAUGAUACGCGAGGAACCUUACCCGGGCUUGAAUUGCAGUCGCUGCCCACAGAGA